ACACUCCUGCGGGAGGCAGCAGUGGGGAAUAUUGCACAAUGGGCGCAAGCCUGAUGCAGCCAUGCCGCGUGUGUGAAGAAGGCCUUCGGGUUGUAAAGCACUUUCAGCGGGGAGGAAGGCGAUACGGUUAAUAACCGUGUUGAUUGACGUUACCCGCAGAAGAAGCACCGGCUAACUCCGUGCCAGCAGCCGCGGUAAUACGGAGGGUGCAAGCGUUAAUCGGAAUUACUGGGCGUAAAGCGCACGCAGGCGGUCUGUCAAGUCGGAUGUGAAAUCCCCGGGCUCAACCUGGGAACUGCAUUCGAAACUGGCAGGCUUGAGUCUUGUAGAGGGGGGUAGAAUUCCAGGUGUAGCGGUGAAAUGCGUAGAGAUCUGGAGGAAUACCGGUGGCGAAGGCGGCCCCCUGGACAAAGACUGACGCUCAGGUGCGAAAGCGUGGGGAGCAAACAGGAUUAGAUACCCCAGUAGUCCCAUG
This 475-nucleotide ribosomal RNA is filed under the name uncultured organism. Its description in RNAcentral is "partial 16S ribosomal RNA". It matches the Rfam family "Bacterial small subunit ribosomal RNA", at positions 333 to 799 of the family's 1533-position model. The record is from RNAcentral.